GAUGAACGCUGGCGGCGUGCUUAACACAUGCAAGUCGAACGAGAAAUGUAGACGGAAACCUUCGGGCGGAAGCCUUCAUUUCGAGUGGCGGACGGGUGAGUAACGCGUGGGUAACCUGCCUCAUACAGGGGGAUAACAGUUGGAAACGACUGUUAAUACCGCAUAAGACCACAGCAUCGCAUGAUGCGGGGGUAAAAACUCCGGUUGUAUGAGAUGGACCCGCGUUCGAUUAGCCAGUUGGCGGGGUAACGGCCCACCAAAGCGACGAUCGAUAGCCGAUCUGAGAGGAUGACCGGCCACAUUGGGACUGAGACACGGCCCAAACUCCUACGGGAGGCAGCAGUGGGGAAUAUUGCACAAUGGGGGAAACCCUGAUGCAGCGACGCCGCGUGAGUGAAGAAGUACUUCGGUAUGUAAAGCUCUAUCAGCAGGGAAGAAAAUGACGGUACCUGAGUAAGAAGCCCCGGCUAACUACGUG
RNAcentral lists this ribosomal RNA (478 nucleotides) under uncultured bacterium. RNAcentral describes it as "partial 16S ribosomal RNA". It matches the Rfam family "Bacterial small subunit ribosomal RNA", at positions 28 to 507 of the family's 1533-position model. The record is from RNAcentral.